GAAAUGCGAUAAGUAAUGUGAAUUGCAGAAUUCAGUGAAUCAUCGAAUCUUUGAACGCACCUUGCGCUCCCUGGUAUUCCGGGGAGCACGCCUGUUCGAGCGUCAUGAAGCUCUCAAACAAUUUGUUUUCUUAACUGCGAAUAAUUUGUUUGGACUUGGACUCUGCUGUGUAACAAACAGCUGGUCCGAAAUUUAUUAGCGGAUCCUAGCGAGGCUUGGUUCUACUCGACGUGAUAAUUAUCUAUCGUCGAGGACAUCUUCGGAUGGCCAACCAAACGAAGGAUUGCUUCUAAUCGUCUUCAUCGACAACUUAUCUAUCAUCUGACCUCGAAUCAGGCGGGACUACCCGCUGAACUUAA
Molecule: unclassified non-coding RNA, 359 nt
Filed under: uncultured Cantharellales
Lineage: Eukaryota; Fungi; Basidiomycota; Agaricomycetes; Cantharellales
Description: sequence contains ITS1
Rfam family: 5.8S ribosomal RNA (bases 1-105)
Source: RNAcentral